Molecule: long non-coding RNA, 219 nt
Filed under: Lathyrus oleraceus (garden pea)
Lineage: Eukaryota; Viridiplantae; Streptophyta; Magnoliopsida; Fabales; Fabaceae
Description: Pisum sativum (pea) long non-coding RNA (PSAT_LNC024637)
Source: RNAcentral
UCAUAGAGGCAUAUGUGAUUAUCAUUUGACUCAUGAUGAGGUAAAAAGAGAUAUUGUACCACCUCAAAGUUACAAUUAUAUUGGUUUGGAUGUUACGCUUUGAAUGUAGCUGAAGGAUUGUGAAACUCAGAAGCAUGGACUUUCAAGGAGACAUUCAAAAGAAGGUGGAGUCAGAUAUGGUUGAAGAACCAUGCUUAUGCCCUACUUAGAUUACCUAAG